AGGAUGACGGCCCUCUGGGUUGUAAACUGUUUUUGUACGGAAAUAAACCCCUCUACGUGUAGAGGGCUGAAGGUACCGUACGAAUAACCACCGGCUAACUCCGUGCCAGCACCCGCGGUAAUACGGAGGGUGCGGGCGUUAUCCGGAUUCAUUGGGUUUAAAGGGUGCGCAGGCGGAAGCUUAAGUCAAUGGUGAAAUCCUCUCCCUCAACGAGAGAACUGCCAUUGAUACUGAGUUUCUUGAGUUUGGUUGACGUUGGCGGAAUGUGUCAUGUAGCGGUGAAAUGCUUAGAUAUGACACAGAACACCGAUCGCGAAGGCAGCUAACGAAGCCAAUACUGACGCUCAGGCACGAAAGCGUGGGGAGCAAACAGGAUUAGAUACCCUGGUAGUCCACGCUGUAAACGUUGAUCACUUGACAUUGGCGAUAUACGGUCAGUGUCCCAAAGAAAUUGUUUAGUGAUCCACCUGGGGAGUACGCCGGCAACGGGUGAAACUCAAG
This 501-nucleotide ribosomal RNA is filed under the name uncultured Bacteroidota bacterium. Its description in RNAcentral is "bacterial SSU rRNA". It matches the Rfam family "Bacterial small subunit ribosomal RNA", at positions 405 to 905 of the family's 1533-position model. Lineage: Bacteria; Pseudomonadati; Bacteroidota. The record is from RNAcentral.